UUUAACUUGCCACGUACCUUAUAAAUACAUGCAUUCAUCUUCUCUUAUUGUCACUCAAUCAAUCCAUUAUAGCUUGAUAUCAUCAUAGUCCAAUAGCAAAUACUUAAUCAGCUUCUUGUGAUCGUAAGAAGAAAUUAACUAAAUGGGUAGUGAGAGUAAAACAUGGUUGAUUCUUUCCUUUGUUCUCAUGGUUGCAAGCAUCAUGCAACAUAGUACUGUCCUCGGAGAAUCCCAAGUGCCUUGCAUUUUUGUGUUUGGGGAUUCUCUAU
This 269-nucleotide long non-coding RNA is filed under the name Lotus japonicus. RNAcentral's name for it is "long non-coding RNA (LJAP_LNC000899)". The record is from RNAcentral. Lineage: Eukaryota; Viridiplantae; Streptophyta; Magnoliopsida; Fabales; Fabaceae.